AGGGAUUUGAGAACUUCACUGUAAGAGUGGUAGCUACUGACUACAAGCAGUUUGCCAUGGUGAUGAUCCAGUUGAAUCCUGAAAACUUUUACUGCUACACACUUUUCAUCUAUGGGAGGACCAAGAAGCUAAACUCUGAAGUCAUAGAACGGUGUCGCUGUAUCUCCAGGUCUCUGGGACUCAUUGAUAAAUUUUUCUUUGCUGAACUCCAAGAGGAGUGCAUUGCUGACUGACUGUAAAUGAGGCAGCGAGACAAUGCUGUACUUCUGUCACUUCAUUCCAAGUUGUGAACCAGCUUCGUCAUCAGGCACAAUGCCAAUGAGAGAACUGGAAGACACUUCUCAAAGCAUAAUACUGCCAACUGUCCUUUGAAAUACUACUACAAUUUUGGAGCCCAAUUUUAUGCCCAAAUACACACUUG
This is a long non-coding RNA of Cavia porcellus (domestic guinea pig), 421 nucleotides long. RefSeq lists it as uncharacterized. NCBI's taxonomy places the organism in Eukaryota, Metazoa, Chordata, Mammalia, Rodentia, Caviidae. The transcript has 4 exons. The record is from RefSeq and is a predicted model, not a curated record.